This 451-nucleotide ribosomal RNA is filed under the name uncultured bacterium. RNAcentral describes it as "partial 16S ribosomal RNA". It matches the Rfam family "Bacterial small subunit ribosomal RNA", at positions 354 to 796 of the family's 1533-position model. The record is from RNAcentral.
GUGGGGAAUAUUGGACAAUGGGGGGAACCCUGAUCCAGCCAUGCCGCGUGUGUGAAGAAGGCCUUUUGGUUGUAAAGCACUUUAAGCGAGGAGGAGGCUACCGAGAUUAAUACUCUUGGAUAGUGGACGUUACUCGCAGAAUAAGCACCGGCUAACUCUGUGCCAGCAGCCGCGGUAAUACAGAGGGUGCAAGCGUUAAUCGGAUUUACUGGGCGUAAAGCGCGCGUAGGUGGCCAAUUAAGUCAAAUGUGAAAUCCCCGAGCUUAACUUGGGAAUUGCAUUAGAUACUGGUUGGCUAGAGUAUGGGAGAGGAUGGUAGAAUUCCAGGUGUAGCGGUGAAAUGCGUAGAGAUCUGGAGGAAUACCGAUGGCGAAGGCAGCCAUCUGGCCUAAUACUGACACUGAGGUGCGAAAGCAUGGGGAGCAAACAGGAUUAGAAACCCCGGUAGUCC